AAGAUCCUGCUGUUUCUACCAUCAGUUCUGAACAUUUAUUGUAAAGAUACUUUUAAACUCUAAUGGGAGAGACAGCAGGAUUCUCC
Aotus nancymaae (Ma's night monkey) is the source of this 86-nucleotide microRNA precursor. Lineage: Eukaryota; Metazoa; Chordata; Mammalia; Primates; Aotidae. The record is from Ensembl.